Molecule: non-coding RNA, 577 nt
Organism: Cherax quadricarinatus
Lineage: Eukaryota; Metazoa; Arthropoda; Malacostraca; Decapoda; Parastacidae
Source: RefSeq, a predicted model, not a curated record
CUGUCACAGCUUAGAAACAGAAGCGGCAGGAGAUAACGAAGUCAAGUGAAAAAAAAAAAUCGAACAAGUUAGUCUUCCUAGCGGUGAACACUCGCCCGCGCGCGCCAUAUAGGCAUUGUCACUAGACUGUUUAGUACUGUGGAGGGAAAGUGGAAUAUUUCGCUGGAAAAUAUUGAUUAAAUACGAAAGGGCGGAUAUUUAUUGGUGGGUCCCUAGCCUGGGAUGGCAGCCACCAGCCUGAGGGAACACGGAUGGCAGCCACCAGCCUGAGGGAACACGGGUGACAGCCACCAGCCUGAGGGAACACGGGUGGCAGCCACCAGCCUGAGGGAACACGGGUGGCAGCCACCAGCCUGAGGGAACACGGGUGGCAGCCACCAGCCUGAGGGAACACGGAUGGCAGCCACCAGCGAGACACCUCGGUGUCUUCAUACUUCGCCACACGGUAAGUGGAUUUCAGACCUCAUCGAGGACCGAGACGCCCAGGUAUGUUCUUUUGUUACAAGGUGAGCUACAACAGCACUAGUUCCUGACAGGUAACUCCCAAUUCUUUUCUCUCACAGGAGUUACACUUGAG